This 460-nucleotide ribosomal RNA is filed under the name uncultured bacterium. Its description in RNAcentral is "partial 16S ribosomal RNA". It matches the Rfam family "Bacterial small subunit ribosomal RNA", at positions 338 to 795 of the family's 1533-position model. The record is from RNAcentral.
CCUACGGGAGGCAGCAGUGAGGAAUAUUGGUCAAUGGACGAGAGUCUGAACCAGCCAAGUAGCGUGAAGGAUGACUGCCCUAUGGGUUGUAAACUUCUUUUAUAAAGGAAUAAAACGAGGCAAGUGUGCCUUUUUGCAUGUACUUUAUGAAUAAGGAUCGGCUAACUCAGUGUCAGCAGACGCGGUAAUACGGAUGAUCCGAGCGUUAUCCGGAUUUUUUGGGUUUAAAGGGAGCGUAGAUGGGUUGUUAAGUCAGUUGUGAAAGUUUGCGGCUUAACCGUAAAAUUGCAAUUGAUACUGGCAGUCUUGAGUACAGUUGAGGUAGGCGGAAUUCGUGGUGUAGCGGUGAAAUGCGUAGAGAUCACGAAGAACCCCGAUUGCGAAGGCAGCUUACUAAACUGUGACUGACAUUGAUGCUCGAAAGUGUGGGUAUCAAACAGGAUUAGAUACCCGGGUAGUC